Gossypium arboreum is the source of this 102-nucleotide non-coding RNA. The record is from Rfam. NCBI's taxonomy places the organism in Eukaryota, Viridiplantae, Streptophyta, Magnoliopsida, Malvales, Malvaceae.
GGACGGUGACGAUUUCUACAGAUAGGUCUCGUUCGUCGUAAAUGGCUGUUUUAAUGGCCUUUGCCGACCAUCCUGUUAUAUCACCACCCAUAUUCCGAGUCC